Molecule: ribosomal RNA, 641 nt
Filed under: Geodermatophilus sp. I12A-02694
Lineage: Bacteria; Bacillati; Actinomycetota; Actinomycetes; Geodermatophilales; Geodermatophilaceae
Description: bacterial SSU rRNA
Rfam family: Bacterial small subunit ribosomal RNA
Source: RNAcentral
GGCGAACGGGUGAGUAACACGUGGGCAACCUGCCCCCGGCUCUGGGAUAACUCCAAGAAAUUGGGGCUAAUACCGGAUAUGACUGCUGACCGCAUGGUCUGGUGGUGGAAAGUUUUUCGGCUGGGGAUGGGCCCGCGGCCUAUCAGCUUGUUGGUGGGGUAGUGGCCUACCAAGGCGACGACGGGUAGCCGGCCUGAGAGGGUGACCGGCCACACUGGGACUGAGACACGGCCCAGACUCCUACGGGAGGCAGCAGUGGGGAAUAUUGCGCAAUGGGCGGAAGCCUGACGCAGCGACGCCGCGUGGGGGAUGACGGCCUUCGGGUUGUAAACCUCUUUCAGCUCCGACGAAGCGGAAGUGACGGUAGGAGCAGAAGAAGCACCGGCCAACUACGUGCCAGCAGCCGCGGUAAUACGUAGGGUGCAAGCGUUGUCCGGAAUUAUUGGGCGUAAAGAGCUCGUAGGCGGUUUGUCGCGUCGGCUGUGAAAACCUGAGGCUCAACCUCAGGCCUGCAGUCGAUACGGGCAGACUUGAGUGUUGCAGGGGAGACUGGAAUUCCUGGUGUAGCGGUGAAAUGCGCAGAUAUCAGGAGGAACACCGGUGGCGAAGGCGGGUCUCUGGGCAACAACUGACGCUGAGGA